RNAcentral lists this non-coding RNA (76 nucleotides) under Jannaschia seosinensis. RNAcentral describes it as "Glycine sequence". It matches the Rfam family "Glycine riboswitch aptamer". Rfam says of the family: This family represents the bacterial glycine riboswitch. Glycine riboswitches usually consist of two metabolite-binding aptamers domains with similar structures in tandem. Lineage: Bacteria; Pseudomonadati; Pseudomonadota; Alphaproteobacteria; Rhodobacterales; Roseobacteraceae. The record is from RNAcentral.
CGACGACACUCUGGAGAGACCCCGGACGGGGCGCCGAAGGGAUAGCGAUCUCAGGCCAAAGGACAGAGGGGGCAUU